Molecule: ribosomal RNA, 329 nt
Filed under: uncultured eukaryote
Lineage: Eukaryota
Description: partial 18S ribosomal RNA
Rfam family: Eukaryotic small subunit ribosomal RNA
Source: RNAcentral
CCCUUAGAUGUUCUGGGCCGCACGCGCGCUACAAUGAUGAAUUCAACGAGUUUAUAACCUUGGUUGAAAAGCCUGGGUAAUCUUUUGAACUUUCGUCGUGAUGGGGCUAGACCCUUGCAAUUAUUGGUCUCCAACGAGGAAUUCCUAGUAAACGCAAGUCAUCAGCUUGCAUUGAUUACGUCCCUGCCCUUUGUACACACCGCUCGUCGCACCUACCGAUUGAAUGGUCCGGUGAAAUCUUCGGAUUGAGACUUUGAUUUCUUCACGGAAAACGCUGUUUUAAGAAGUUGAUUAAACCUUACCAUUUAGAGGAAGGUGAAGUCGUAACA